This 427-nucleotide ribosomal RNA is filed under the name uncultured Alphaproteobacteria bacterium. RNAcentral describes it as "bacterial SSU rRNA". It matches the Rfam family "Bacterial small subunit ribosomal RNA", at positions 392 to 837 of the family's 1533-position model. The record is from RNAcentral. Lineage: Bacteria; Pseudomonadati; Pseudomonadota; Alphaproteobacteria.
CCAUGCCGCGUGAGUGAUGAAGGCCUUAGGGUCGUAAAGCUCUUUCGCCUGUGAUGAUAAUGACAGUACCAGGUAAAGAAACCCCGGCUAACUCCGUGCCAGCAGCCGCGGUAAUACGGAGGGGGUUAGCGUUGUUCGGAAUUACUGGGCGUAAAGCGCACGUAGGCGGAUUGGAAAGUUGGGGGUGAAAUCCCGGGGCUCAACCCCGGAACUGCCUCCAAAACUAUCAGUCUAGAGUUCGAGAGAGGUGAGUGGAAUUCCAAGUGUAGAGGUGAAAUUCGUAGAUAUUUGGAGGAACACCAGUGGCGAAGGCGGCUCACUGGCUCGAUACUGACGCUGAGGUGCGAAAGUGUGGGGAGCAAACAGGAUUAGAUACCCUGGUAGUCCACACCGUAAACGAUGAAUGCCAGUCGUCGGGCAGUAUACU